Molecule: transfer RNA, 72 nt
Filed under: Camelus bactrianus (Bactrian camel)
Lineage: Eukaryota; Metazoa; Chordata; Mammalia; Artiodactyla; Camelidae
Also listed under: 2 other names
Rfam family: tRNA
About the family: Transfer RNA (tRNA) molecules are approximately 80 nucleotides in length.
Source: Rfam by way of RNAcentral
GAGGGUAUAGCUCAGUGGUAGAGUGUGUGCCUAGCAUGCAUGAGGUCCUGGGUUCAAUCCCCAGCACCUCCA